CCCAGAGAGGUGCGAGCGGGCGGGGUAAGACGUGGGGGGGGAGCGUGGUCGGGAAUGAUUGGGCGUAAAGGGCUCGUAUGCGGUUUGUGGCGUCGGGAGUGAAAACCAUGGGCUUAACUCAUGGCUUGCUUCCGAUACGGGCAGACUAGAGGCAUGCAGGGGAGAACGGAAUUCCUGGUGUAGCGGUGAAAUGCGCAGAUAUCAGGAGGAACACCGGUGGCGAAGGCGGUUCUCUGGGCAUGUCCUGACGCUGAGGAGCGAAAGUGUGGGGAGCGAACAGGAUUAGAUACCCUAGUAGUC
RNAcentral lists this ribosomal RNA (300 nucleotides) under uncultured Roseateles sp. RNAcentral's name for it is "bacterial SSU rRNA". It matches the Rfam family "Bacterial small subunit ribosomal RNA", at positions 492 to 795 of the family's 1533-position model. The record is from RNAcentral. Lineage: Bacteria; Pseudomonadati; Pseudomonadota; Betaproteobacteria; Burkholderiales; Sphaerotilaceae.